RNAcentral lists this ribosomal RNA (274 nucleotides) under uncultured bacterium. RNAcentral describes it as "partial 16S ribosomal RNA". It matches the Rfam family "Bacterial small subunit ribosomal RNA", at positions 523 to 796 of the family's 1533-position model. The record is from RNAcentral.
AUACGGAGGGUGCGAGCGUUAUCCGGAUUUAUUAGGUUUAAAGGGUGUGUAGGCGGGAGCCUAAGUCAGUGGUGGAAUCUCACAGCUUAACUGUGAAACUGCCAUUGAAACUGGGUUUCUUGAGUAUAGUUGAGGUAGGCGGAAUGUGUAAUGUAGCGGUGAAAUGCAUAGAUAUUACACAGAACACCGAUUGCGAAGGCAGCUUACUAAGCUAUUACUGACGCUGAUGCACGAAAGCGUGGGUAGCGAACAGGAUUAGAAACCCGAGUAGUCC